AUUCCCUGUGAUGCUAUAACUUACCAUGCUAAUUCUGAUCAUUGAAGUAGUGAUUGAUUCUUACUUUGUUUCUGAGGGAAUU
Cannabis sativa is the source of this 82-nucleotide small nucleolar RNA. RefSeq annotates it as small nucleolar RNA snoR53Y. Lineage: Eukaryota; Viridiplantae; Streptophyta; Magnoliopsida; Rosales; Cannabaceae. The record is from RefSeq and is a predicted model, not a curated record. The transcript has a single exon.